RNAcentral lists this ribosomal RNA (412 nucleotides) under uncultured microorganism. Its description in RNAcentral is "bacterial SSU rRNA". It matches the Rfam family "Bacterial small subunit ribosomal RNA", at positions 9 to 418 of the family's 1533-position model. The record is from RNAcentral.
GAGUUUGAUCGUGGCUCAGAUUGAACGCUGGCGGCAUGCCUAACACAUGCAAGUCGAACGGCAGCACUGGGAGCUUGCUCCCUGGUGGCGAGUGGCGGACGGGUGAGUAACGCGUAGGAAUCUGCCUCAUAGCGGGGGACAACUCGGGGAAACUCGAGCUAAUACCGCAUACUACUCGAGAGAGGAAAGCAGGGGACCUUCGGGCCUUGCACUAUGAGAUGAGCCUGCGUUGGAUUAGCUAGUUGGUAGGGUAAAGGCCUACCAAGGCGACGAUCCAUAACUGGUUUGAGAGGAUGACCAGUCACACUGGGACUGAGACACGGCCCAGACUCCUACGGGAGGCAGCAGUGGGGAAUAUUGGACAAGUGGGGAAACCCUGAUCCAGCAAUGCCGCGUGUGUGAAGAGGCCGUG